Molecule: ribosomal RNA, 497 nt
Filed under: uncultured bacterium
Lineage: Bacteria
Description: partial 16S ribosomal RNA
Rfam family: Bacterial small subunit ribosomal RNA
Source: RNAcentral
GAUGAACGCUGGCGGCGUGCCUAAUACAUGCAAGUCGAGCGAACAGAUGAGGAGCUUGCUCCUCUGACGUUAGCCGCGGACGGGUGAGUAACACGUGUAUAACCUACCUAUCAGACUGGGAUAACUUCGGAAAACCGGAGCUAAUACCGGAUAAUAUAUUGAUCCGCAUGGUUCAAUAGUGAAAGACGGUUUUGCUGUCACUUCUCGAUGGAUCCGCGCCGCAUUAGCUAGUUGGUAAGGUAACGGCUUACCAAGGCAACGAUGCGUAGCCGAGCUGAGAGAGUGAUCGGCCACAUUGGAACUGAGACACGGUCCAUACUCCUACGGGAGGCAGCAGUAUGGAACCGGCCGCAAUGGUCGAAAACCUGACGGAGCAACGCCGCGUGAGUUAUGAAGGUCUCCGGAUCGUAAAACCCUGUUAUGAGGUAAGAACAAAUGUGUAAGGAAACAUGCACGGCUUGACGGUACCUAAUCAGAAAGCAACGGCUAACUACGUG